UCCAGAAUGGGGGCGUGGGGAAAGCCUCCCCCAGGUCACACAGCAGGAGGAAGGGACGAGCCUUUUCACUAGGACAGGGACAGAACUUGAGGGAUCCGGUGGUCCCUUUUCUGCAUGCUGACCACCGGUAGCGCCCCCCUCCCGCAAACGGGGCGUGCACACGCCCAGCAGCCUAGAGAGGGGCGGUGGGGCCGGGCGGAGCCGCUGGGGCCGGGGGAAGCGGCGGGGCCCCCCCGCCCUGGGUCCUCGCUCCCCCCUCCAGCGGCGGCGGGGGAGGCGGUACGUCGCGGCGGGGCCGGGUGUAGCUCGUUCCCGAUGCCGCCGUUUGUCGCGGAGUUUGGAAGAGAUUUAUUGGCUGGCUCUUGCUAAGCCACGCUUGAGUAAUCCGAGCUGCUGCGCGCCGUGGUGAAGCCCGGAGGGGGGGAACGUCACUCCCUCUGGCACCGGAGCAACAUUAGUCUUCCAGCCCUCUAACCAUCGCUACAGCGUCGGAAACUGCCGGGUCACAGCCAUUUGCUUUGGAAAAUUGGCGAUGUUUGGUGCUAGAGAUCGAUUACCCUCGUAAUCUUUCCCCCACCUCCUCCUGCCUUACCCCACCCCUACCCGCCCCAGACAAUAGCGUCCGCGUUCCGCCGGGAAAAAAAAUAGAAAAGAAAGCAAGGAAAGAAAGAAAGAAAAAGAAAGAACUGGGGGAUGGAUCUGACUCCGAUAGGAAAAGCGUGUGUCUAGAAGUGGUGCUAAUGGGAAGAGAUUUCCGAGCUCCAGAGGACGAUGGUUUCUCACAAAGGGUAGCUGGCUCGGUGCUCGGGGCUGGAGCCGUGUAGGAGAUCCUUGGAGAAGUCCUUGUGCACAGAAAGCCGAAGAUCUGUACAAACAUGCCUGUUCGCAGAGGCCAUGUGGCACCACAAAAUACAUUUUUGGGUACAAUCAUACGAAAAUUUGAAGGGCAAAAUAAAAAAUUCAUCAUUGCUAAUGCUAGAGUGCAGAACUGUGCUAUCAUCUACUGCAAUGAUGGGUUCUGUGAGAUGACUGGGUUCUCCAGGCCAGAUGUCAUGCAGAAACCUUGCACCUGUGAUUUUCUUCAUGGACCAGAGACCAAAAGACAUCAUAUUGCACAAAUUGCUCAAGCACUGCUGGGGUCAGAGGAGAGGAAAGUGGAAGUCACCUACUAUCACAAAGAUGGUAAAGUUUGUUUUUGUUGUCAACACUUUCUGUGUAUUUCGUUAUCUGGUAAAAAUGCAUCUGGUCUGCCAGCCAUACCCUUCCCUGGAGUAGUGGUAUAAUUCCUCUGAAGUCUAGUGAAGUACACUUCAGUAUAGUAAUAAGGGAGUAUUCCUUGAAAGUAGCAGGUGCACAGAGUAUAUCAGUGUAUGCUGACUGUAACAGCUGAAUAAGGUUAGUGCUGCAACUGUUGAACAAAAGUUUUCUAGGUUUAAAUUAGAUGUAAAUUUCCUAUAGUAAACAGCCCUACAACAGUGCAAAGAUAACACGAACACAGAGCAGGAAUCCUGUGACUGUUAAUUUUUAUGAACUAUUUCAGCUCACAGAAAGUAAAAAUGAUGUAUGAGUUUCAGCUCUUAAUUCUGCCAGCCUCACACAAUGCAAUUGCAUGAUUUAAAUGCGGUAUUUUACUUGGAAAAACACAAUGGGCUUGAAAGUAGCAAAAAAACCUGACCUAUAAUGAAGAAAUUAUCAGCUUAUAAAGAAAAGGACAUGUCCUUCUCAAAGAUGAGACACUGUGAAUUUGGAGUAUCUAUAUUUGAAUCACAGAAGUCGUCCUAGAAUUAUGUUGGCAUAGUAAAAAAAUUGCAAUGGUUAAACUAUGAAGAGCGUUCCUGGUUUUUGGUAAAGAUAUGGAAUCUGUUAACAAUAUUGCUGAUGUAAGGAUGAGUGGCUAAAUAUGCCUUGCUGAUGCUUUCUUCCUAUUAAGAGAGCAUGGAAUGAAUAAAUGACUGUAUUUGCUGAUCAAAAAAUGCACGCACAUGAAAACUAACUAUGAUACCUUGUAGUUAUGUGUAGGCUUUUCUUUCUUUUUCUCAUUACCCAGUGUUAUUUACAGAAACAUCUGCCCUUCAAGCAAAUCCAAAUAAUGAAUGUGUGGUGUACCUUACUCUGUCUCUUGCUCAGUAUGUGCUAUUGAGAGAAGGAAAAGGAAAUUCAUAUUCAAAUGCUGAGCUUAAAUUAGUUCUGGAGAAAUGCCAGCGUUUUGUUUGCAUCAAUUUUAGAAUCACAUGCAAAGGAUGCUCUCAUAUUUUAAAGUCACAGAGUUAAACCAUAUUCUUAGUAAUUCUGCUGCUAUCUUGGAGAGUCUUAGUAUUAUUUUUAGCUUGGGCAGGUAUAAUUCAGAUAGGACUCAGGCCACUCACUCUGCCCACGCUACCAAUACUUAAUGAAUGUUCUUCUUAACAUAUUCUCAUCAGAGUCCUUUAUUCUUAGAUCUGGUUAGGUGGUCUGUAGUAGAUUUUGCUCAAGACUGAUUGUUGUAGUUGUGCCUUGAACAUAGAUUUAUCAAGAGACCUGCCACUGUGUGUCUACAUACAUCUAGUCUGUGUGUUAACUUGGCGUGUGUUAAAAAUAAUAUUGCAAAAGCAGAAUGUCAUUGCUAACUUUCACAGCCACAAGCCUGGAGCAUUGUUUUGAGAUCUGGUUGUUUAAUAGUGCUUCAGUCUUCCAUAAUACUGAGGGAUAGGGAAGGUGCUAUUUAUCCAUCGGUUAACCUUAAUAUGUAUUUUUCUAAAAAUGAUGAGUCUUGGCAUCAUACAACACACUAUAAUCAAUUUGAGGCAAGUCAAAGCAAAACUGCCCACAAAAACUGCCAUGCCCUUUGUAAAUAUUUUUGAGUUUUGAAGUACAUUAUAAAUGGAUUAUUCAGUGUAAACAAUUUAAUGCAUAAGAGUUUUCAGUAACUUCCCUUCUGUGAAAAGUUAAUUUAAAUUGAAGGAUUUAAAGAAGUGUAUGUUCAAAGGCUAGGGAAUUUCAAAAAGCUAUGGAUAAUAUUUCUAGACACAUUCUUGAAAAAUUUACUGGUCAAAAUGUGAAACUCAUUUAUUGUGCACUAUAUGCACUGCUAAAUUUAAACAAAUACAAAUGGUUUUUAAACAAUUAAAUUUCAUUCAAAAUACUGAGUCACUGAUUAUAGGUAAAAAUUGACAAGAUACAAGAUAGGUCUGGCACUCAAAUUCAUAACUCCCUGACAGCUUGAUCAUUUGUAUAUAUAGAUUUUUCUGUUUGGUACACAUGAUGUUCAAUUUCUGUAGAAAAUGUGAGAAAAAGUUCUUAAGCUUGUGUGGUGUUAUGAAAUUUAAAUUGCUUGUGCGAUGGAUAUAAUAAAUUUUGGUAAGC
Molecule: long non-coding RNA, 3342 nt
Organism: Numida meleagris (helmeted guineafowl)
Lineage: Eukaryota; Metazoa; Chordata; Aves; Galliformes; Numididae
Exons: 2
Source: RefSeq, a predicted model, not a curated record